Long non-coding RNA from Neltuma alba, 1599 nucleotides. RefSeq lists it as uncharacterized. Lineage: Eukaryota; Viridiplantae; Streptophyta; Magnoliopsida; Fabales; Fabaceae. The transcript has 3 exons. The record is from RefSeq and is a predicted model, not a curated record.
UUUUUGGACGAUUCUACUCCUCAUAUUCUCCGUCGAAAUACCCGAACCGUACCCUCCUUCCCGAUGAUCGCCCUCCAUCCCCGUUGCCCCUCACUUCGGUCAACAGUUCCAUCACACCAUGCACACCACUUUCCUUCGUAUUUCUUUAGAUUCGCUGGAGACCUAACUUCUUCUGCUGCUAGAUCCAUUCACCUUCGGUUAGCAGGUGUGCGGAAUUUGCCUGUCUGAGGAAGAUAAAAGAAGAGUAAGGGGAGCCCUAAAUUGUUGCUCUCGCUAUUUUUGUUUUGCUUGCAUUAUGGAGCGGGCCACAACAAUCAGUAUACGUGCACGAUCAACAUGUUCGAGAGAAGUAGUGGUACAAGUGCCUCAACGUGAUCAGGUCUAUCGGCCUUCUCAAGAAGAACUCAGGAGCUAUACUGAUCCGUAUGGGAACGUUAUUUGUUCGUAGUGCCAUCAAGGCGGAGAUGAUCACCUGAUGUUACUGUGUGACCUCUGUGAUUCACCGGCCCACACAUAUUGUGUUGGUCUGGGGCGGGAAGUUUCUGAAGGUAAUUGGUAUUGUGGUGGCUGCACACCAGUUGCUUUGGGAUCCUCAUGUUCCCAAGUUCAAGAACGCGUUGCUGACUCAAGGGUGACAUGCCAGAGUAUGCCUGCUAGACCGUCACCUGUUGCAUAUGUACGAGAAAGCAUAGACCUUAACUUGCUGUUUUCGGGCAGAAGUGUCGAGGGGACUUCUCCGAUAUCUGGCGGUGGAGCCACCGACCUUAUCAGAGAGACGCUGGAUACACCAUCAAAUUCAACAAAUACUUCCAAACUACAGAAUUAAUUCUACUACUGGCAGAAGAAGAAGUAUCUACCAGUUCAACUUGUAAUUGUAACUUGCAUGGCUUUCAAAUUGAUCCAAGGAGGGGAAUAGCCGCUCAACAUACAGGGAUGUGAGAUGUGGGAACAUCAUAUCACCCAUACCUUGAGGAGAGACUAGGCAACAAUAGGGUGGGAAUCCUUUGCUAAUGAGAAUAAGCAAUGUGAGGAGGUUAGCGGUUCAAGACUCAACGCCAGUUAACAGACCUGUGACUCUGAAUGAGGCAUUUUUGCCUGAACUAUUGGCGACGCCCCCCGUAUGGGAUUAUGAACAAAUUCAUCAGCCCAAUAGCAUAUCCGACACUAUUACCAACCGUAUGAAUGUUCCUACUGUUGAAGAAGGAAAUGGUACUUUCAAGAACAUUACAAGCAGUUUGUAAACACCGUAUUAACUGCUUGCGGUCUUGAGCACAGAAAGAGCGAGGCUAUGCACUUUACCUCCACCGUCUAUCUGUACCCAUAUUGAACAAGUGGAUGAUGGACGAACGAGUCCGAUUAAAGGAAGCUGCUCAUCUUGCUUUGAUUAUUUUGUCGGAGAUGUGGUGGAGAGGAUCAUGGAUACAACAAUUCCCAAAUGGUUACGUUUAGGACUUCAGGCGUUAUUACAGGGUCUAAAGGCACGUCGUUUUUUGUUAGAUGUUAAGAACAUUAUGUCAUAUAUGCGAUAAUACAUGCAUAAACAAGAUCCUUUACAUUAGUUCCUUGUAACCCACAAGUAUAUACGUCAGUUCUUGCUUU